This is a non-coding RNA of Taeniopygia guttata (zebra finch), 13971 nucleotides long. Lineage: Eukaryota; Metazoa; Chordata; Aves; Passeriformes; Estrildidae. The record is from RefSeq and is a predicted model, not a curated record.
GAUAGAUAGUAAUAAUAUGCAUGCUUUCCUGUCCAGCUUGAAUUUUCAGGAAACUCAGUGAAGAAACUUAAGGCUGGAAGGUUCCACCCGUCUCCCCCCUGCACACAGUAUCCUUCCCGCUGGAGCGGGCGAUGCCUUUGGAACCGCUGCCUUUUCCCUGGGAGCGCCAGACGCUGCGGGAGGUGAUGCGGCCGCUGCCCCUGGCCCCACCGGCCCCAGCAGCCAAGGGAGGAGGAACAACCUCAGCCCCCAAACCUGCGGGAACAACUUCCUGUCCUUCAUGCCUCCCACCGCCACCCCAUAGGGUUAUAUUUAAAGAUAAAUAUAUAUAUAUAUUUAAAUAUUUGUAAAAACAGCGAUUGAUAAAUGCAGCUAGUAAAUAACCACCCUUAAAUUAAAAAAAAAAAAAAGAAAAAAAAAAAGAAAAACACCCCACACAAGCCAUAAUGAUGAUGAUGAUGAUGACGGGAGGGGGGGAAAUAAAUAAAUAAAAGCGAGCGAGAGUCGGCGAGGGAGAGGGAGGCAGGUUCAAUUAUCUAAACAAAGAAAUCAUGGCGGAGUGUUUACAUUUGGCAGCCCAAAGCCUCUUGGAUUACGGAACCCCCCCCAAACCCAAGCGGCCCCCCCCGGCCCCCCGCAGUCGCGGCUCGCCGGAGCCCGCCCGCCGACACCUCGCCGCGGCCCGGAGCCUGAACCAGCUGCUUUGAAGAGAUCUUGGGACUGAAGGACUGAGCUGAGGCAUUUCUAAGGCAGCUGAUAACAGAGGAAAGAGCAGAUCAUGGCACCAAAUCCUGCCCCGGAGCUGAGCAGGGCCCAAGGAGUGGCCCCGUGUGGAGGAGCAGAUGGAGCUCUGCAAACUGUCAGGUAACCUUGCCCACUCUUGUGGAAAGCCUGAGGAGCUCCAGGAGGGAUUAAAAGAAGAGAUCUUCCUCCCCUGUUCAGGAGGAAGUUCAGGACCAGACUGCUUUUUCAGUCCUACAUAUUCCAACUUGGGCUCUCAGACACUCAGUGGAGCAAAAGCAGCUUUUUUGAAAAGUGACUGUUGGGGAUGUCCUGGGUCAGUAUCUCACUGUCCCGUAGAAUCACCCCUAGAAAUGUCUCUGCAGAAAGGUGCUCAGGUACAGCAGUGACUUUUCCUUAUGGAGCAGCACCCUCACCCUGUGUUUCAGGAAGGGCUGUCACCUUCACUGUGGAGAUCUGGUUUCCAUUCAUUACAGGGGAGCAGCUGAGGUGGAAGUUCAAUCCAAGGGCUGCAAUUUUGCCAAUGCCAGCAAGGAAACAAACUACUGGGCCCCAACAUGGCAACACACAUGGGAGAGGGAUUGGAAGUGCCUUUAAGAAACAAGUACAAAAAAAUGUCCCUCAUUCAGCCUCUCUCUGCUCAAGCCACUGGAAAGCUACCAACCUCAGAAAGAGCAAAAGCAGAAGAAAACUUGGAAACACCUGGGACGUUCAUGUGGUGCUCACACUCCUGCACCCUUGCCUUGGGCUUUGAGCUUUGGAACCUGGAAAUUCGAUUAGCUGGACAAUAUGUUCCCAGAAAGGGUUGCUGAGUCUCACCAUACCUGAGGAAGUGGCAGUAAUAUUCUGCAAAAAGGAAAGCAGGUAUCCAGUCACCAAAAUAAAUGUAAUUUUCAAUUUGUGGCCAUGUGCAGUUCUUCAGGACAAAACCUGGCUCAGGUGGAGCAAGAAAAGGCAGCUGAGCUGUGUCAGGACAUGGAUAACCCUGUUCCACAGCUCUGAGCACUCGGCUCAGUUGGCUUCCCAAGCCCCCAGGAUGGACAUGGAGACAGUUCUCUGGCAUUGGGGUGAAAGGCUGUUGAAAGAGAAGAAGGGAAUCUACCAGGUGGCUGCAUCUUGAAAAACAGCAUGGCUGGCUCUACCCAGACUGCUUUGGAGCCCUACCCUCUCUCCUCCUCUGUAGCGUCUCAGGUGAAGAGGAGGCUUUGACAUGGGCACAGAGGGGCCACUCUGAAGGUACAGAGAAAGUGGCAGGAACACGGAACGUCCUCUGAUCCCUGCUCUGGUACAACUAAAGCUUGAAUAAAGCCAUUUCCAGCUGGAUUUCCCCCAAGAUGUUAAUAUUGUGCUGGGUUUAAUGCUGACUGAAGCAAGGUAGCAAGCAGUUAUUGCAGGCCUGACAUGCCUGUUCUGCCAGGGAACAGCGUGAGCUUUCAACUCAGAAAACAAGGUGAACUUUGUUGGGUCAUCAAUCUGCUUUUGCCUGCCUUGGCCAGGCCUUGUCCUCCUGUCCCAUUUUGCAGCAGUCCUGUCUGUGGGAGAAGUACAACUGUGGGACGCCUGAUGAAAAGAGAUGGUUGAACAACUGGCCUUCAGCUCUGUCACCUUUUCUUGCUGCUGGCAUAAACAAAACACACAAAAAAACCCCACCCAAAAACCACAAAAACAAACGAACAAACAAAACCACCAAAAAAAGACAAAAAAAAUCCAAUGCAAAGAUAGUUUAUGUACAGCUCAGGAAGCUCACAGCAAUGAGUGUGUCUGUGAUUUAAUAACACAUCUACCCAAAAUGACACUUCUUCUAAUACUCACUGAGAAAAAGAAGGCAGAGCAGCACACAAGGCACUGCUAUUGCAGCAACAAGCAGCCAAACUAGCAGGUAUUUAUUUUUCAAUGUACACAAUUACUGGGGGAGAAUAAAAAUUAUUCUUUGACACUCUGACAGAGCCGUAAAAAGCUCUGUGCUUCCCCUACUCCCAUGGUCCUGACAAGAAACACCUCACCAAUUCUAAUAAAUAGAGAAUAGAAAUAAAUACUUUAACUACACAGCAUCAGGUUUCAAAUGGCUUCCUGAAUCAGAAAGUGCUGCUAGUCCAUCUUCCUUAUUUCCACACUCAGUAAUGGUGGCUCUCCAAAAGUCAAAGUGAGAUGGAUACUACAAGGAUCACAGACACUACACUGGGAAACCAAGUAUCAGUGGGGUACGUCCAGAUUUAUGGUAGGUGAUGGCAGUAAAGUGAAAGUAAAACUGUUUGCACAGUCUGUAUUGUUGGCCAUUACUGUGUAUUUGCCCUUUUUUCUUGCUUAGCUGCAGCUGGAAGAAUGGAAAAUUGUACCUUCUAUACAGUAUUAGAAAACACUUUCUGAUCAUAAGGUCAAUCAGAUUGGUUUAGCUGCUUGAGGUAUUUAUGGCACCAUCACUCAGUGUCUUUAAGGAAAGGUUAGAUACAUUUAUGGGAAAGGUAUUUUGCAGAAGCUUUCCUGCUUCAUAGAGGUCUUGGACAAAAUGACCCAGGAGGCCCCUUCCAAGUCUAUCAAGUGUGGUUCCCUGAUUGAUGCUGUUUUCCCCCAAAGUCUUUUCAAAACACAAAGCACUGUUAUAAAAUUUAAUAUGAUACACUAUAUAACUUUAACACAAUGCCAUUUUCUUAAAGGAAAUGGUUAGCUGGUAGCACAGGAGCCUCGUGCAAGAGGAAAAAAUGUAGAAAAAAAGAAAUUGCAGUGCAGUUUCUCUGCUGAGGGAUAUCGACUAUAACAUUUACUCUGUGUCUGAGCAUGGACUCUUAGCUGUGCAGGGGGACACCAAGCCAGGAAAGUAUAUAAGGAACCCAGGCUGUGGAAUUUAUUUCUCCAGAAAAGCCCGACAAGGCCUGAGGUAAUUUUCUAUGCUGUGCAAUAAUCAUUCCCUCAAUGCUGGGAAGCAAAUGGACACCCAGCUCUCCUUGUAAAUCACUGCCUGGUGCUGUAUCAGCUGGGCCUGGGGCAGAGCUGCCUGGGGACCAGGAGAGUCCCAGCCCUCCUGCACAGGCACAGGCACAGGGCCGGAGCUCAGGUGUGUCCUGCACCACCUGCACCAGCGAGAAGAGCCCGUCUGUAACUCACGGCUCUGGCCUGUCCUGCUGCCAUCCCAGCUGCACCAUGGAGCAGGCGGAGCAAAUCCCUGAAAAUGGCGAGCGCCAAAAGCUGCACUUUGGAAAAAGGGCAGCACCACCCCUGGUAAUGUGUUUGUCUGAUGACUAAAGAAUGAGCAAGAGAGCUUGGGCCAUAUUUCUCUUGUCUGAAUACAAGAUUGAUUGUCAGGCAGAAUCCUCUCCAGGUCUUCUGUGUUUCCACCAAACCAUUCAGUAAAAUGAUAAUAUUCUUCUCCCUACUAUACUUACUUGUUUUGUUGUGUUUUAAUUUGCUGAAUGUUUCCUAUAUUGACUUUUAUUUUUCCUUUGAAACAGUUAACAUUUAAAAAUUAAAGUCAUGUAAUUAUUUAAAAAAAACAACCAACAAGAAAAACCCAACCAGAUCCUCUGGACCAUCUGGUUGAAAUGCUCUGGGUCAGCCUCCACUAAUCUCUAGUCAGUUUUAAUUUUAGAUUUUCAUAGGAAAAAAAAGAAGGAAGAAACCCCAGAAUUUUAUUGAAUUGGAGUUUACUCUCAAAAUCAUUUUAUACUAACCUUUUUAUUUUCACUCCAACUAAUUUAGUUAAAGGCCAAACUCUUCUUCCAAAAAUCAGCUCCCAGCCCCCAUCUUCUUGGGAUAGCCCUAACAGGAAAUAACAACAUCUAUAUACAGACACUCUGAAGCCUUUUGAAGUCUCACAAAUGUGAGCUGUUCCCUUUUGCAGAGCAGGCUGGGAUUAACUCUUUUAUUAACCUUAUAACCUCAUCCAUGAAAAAAAAUAAUAGCCAAUCCCUUUUAUUUUGUUUCUUUUAAAAUCUGGAUGCAUGCUGCCUUCUCUACCCAAACAUUUGUGAGCUCACCCUACAGAGAGGAGCAAAAAAAGCCCAUGGAAAGCCCCCUCUCCCUGUGGAGCUCCCCAAAGCCCCUCUUGCCCCUCCCAUUAUGUUGCACUCAGUGUCAAAGUUUGUGUUUUCACUGGAAGAUAUUUUUGCUUUACAGGAGGCUUGUGUCUCUGUAUUGGUGGGAGCAAAUAACAACCUUUUGGUCCUUUUCAACACAUUACAUCAAUGCAUUUUCCUGAUUCCCAUGACAAAAAAGGAUCUUUUAGCAGAAUGAAAAAUCUGACCUGGGUGUAAUCCUGACAGCGCUCCAAUUGCUCAUCCUUAGCUUCAUCCCUGCACUGCAGUGCAGAAUAAGAGGCUCACACUGGAAUAGCUCUUCUCACCAGAGUCAAAAUGGUAAAAAUUUGCUCACAGAGUGACACGAGCAGGAAUUUCAAAGGAAAAUUUAUCUCCUGCUCUUUGUCUUACAAUAUGGUGCACUGUGGUGGCUGGAAGAUUUAACUUCCAAGCAUCCCAUCUAUAUAAAUCCUACUGGAAAACAAUUUUUUAGGGUGCUUAGCUCAGCAGCUGGAAUCUGCCAGGGAAUGAUUGCCAAGAUAAGGAUGGAGAAAAACUUUUCUGUAGCCUUCAGGUGUUGGUCGAGGGUCAGGAUUAGGGAAUAGCUCUCAGCUUUGGCUCUCAGAGCUCCGUGUGUUGCACGAGGUCACGGCUCACUGGUGUAAGGACCAGGGGUUUGGGCCAGUCCUGCCUCUGCCCUGCUCAGCUCGGCCCAUUAACUCCUCUGGUGAUACAGCCCCUCUUGGGUUUUCUGCUUUUCAAAGAUUUACACUUGGUUUAAAUCUCAAUCAAAAGCUCCACUUGAGAUUUUGGGAGGCCAAGACACUUAAAAAUCUCCAAUGGGAAGGGCAAGUGAGGAAGGCAGAAUAUCUCUCCCUUGCAAAGGCAUUCAAAUACCACUUGGAUGAGGAGUUUCCAUCUACUUUGCUGGAUAAACAGACAUCACAGUUCUAAUGUGCAGGGGUGCCCUUCACACCAACAGGCAGAGAAAAGAUGCAAUGGGAAGAGUAAGAGGCACCAGAAUAAAAAAAGGCAGGAUCCAACUGAAAUUUUACCUUUGAUCUUUGAAAAUGGGAAAACCCAUUCGGGAUCAGGAAUUUCCAGACUGGGCUGUAUGCACCAUUAAUUGUUUUCCAUGAAGCAGAGCUGGUCUGCUAUUGUUGCAUCCUCCAAAAACAGCUGUUACUAUGAGCUCUAUGGGAUUCAGGAACUCCACUUCCCAGUUUUCACUUAGUACUUCAGUGAUCAUAUAUAAAUAAUAGUAAUGAUAAUUAUAACAAUACCUGGCUUGCCAUUAUGUUGUACUCAGUCUUUGUGAUGCUCUCUCAUAAUAAAAUCUGUGUAUUAAACACUUUAACUGAAACUCUUAAUAAAACAGUGAUAUUUUUACUUGUGCUGUUAUAUUCACAUAAUGACCACAAAGCACUUUACAGAAUCAAAUGGAAGUCGCCAGUCUGAUCCUUCUAUAGAGCAUUUUGUGCAUCUCAGCAGUGCGUAACAAAGCUGCUGUAUAGACAAGUAACUGUCAAACAUACCACAUUUUGGGGUUUGUCCUGGCUGAGCAGCAUCCAAAAGCCUGGGGUUUGUCCUUCAGAUUGGUGUGAAAGUCUGUAAAGCCACCACAAAUUACACAACAAGAGGAACUGGACGGUCUCACCAACUACACAAGAACAAGCUGUGAUGUCUCAUUAUCAAGGUCCCUGGGUCAGAAAGAAGAAAAAAAGGUUAUAAUUUUCCUGGUUUAGGAAAAAAGCCAUGGAAGUCUUGGAGCUGAGUACUGAGCAGCCUCCAUGGGGUCACUGCAAGGGGCCAAGGCAAAUGCUGGCCCUGCAAAUGCUCGUGGUAAAUGGUGCCUUCCAAGGUUUGAGAGGGUCUCCAGCUUUGGGCCUUGUACCAGGUACUUCUGGAGCUGUGAGACAGUGACAGGCUUUGUUCCCUCGUGUAUAAUUGAUAAAUUACCAUUGUGAGUACUAAACAAUACAACUGAGCACAGAAUGGAAACACGCUAAUGCUUUAUCCAGCUCCAGCAAUUCUGCUCGUGUGCUCACACUGUUCUUAAAUGUGCUAGGUAUUUGUUUGAUGAAACAAUAAGUUUUAGAAAAGAGAAAAAUAAGAACUUCAAAGAUAAUAAAAACCUUGACUACAUACUUUACCACAGGAAGCUGUGAAUAAGCUUCAGUACUCUUUAUUUUUAACAUUCCAGAUAUGUAAUUUAGCACAGGUCUAAUGACAGUCUCGAACAUACUGCUUUAAUCGAAAUUUUUCAAGCUCUGUUCUGUGACAAGGGCUCACAAGAUACCAGCAGGGUUGUCCAUUUCCCCACUUCUGUAGGGAAAAGAAAAGGGAAGGGAGGGGGACACUCUUGAACUUAUGUUGCUAUUGAUGUGUAAUACACAAUAAAAAAACAGUUAAAUUUCAAUUACCCACAGGUAAUUAUAAUUUUAUUGUUUGACUGUACUAUGGGGAAUUUUGUAAUUCCCAAGACUAAUAAUUUUCUAUAAUUUUACAGGUUGUCAAAUAAACUAUUAAAGAUUAUCUUUGAAAAGGAUUCUGCAAUUGUAAGAACAUAUCAUACUGUUCCUGUACAUUAUUAGUAAUUAGAGAUCCCUGGAUAGUGAAAUAUCCACACUAUAUGCUAGCUGCUGGAUACCAUAUUUUCUCACAGCCUCCUGUAAUCUUGAACCAAAGCUUUCAGACUUCUCAGCCAUUGUAGCCUGAGUCAUGUCCAAACUUUUAUUAAUAUUCACUGAGCACUCAUUAAGCAAUUCUGGUGCAUUCGAUACGUUAAACCUGUGCUUCCUGACAGGGAAAAGCAAAGGCUCCCAGGUCCAUCCCAGAGUAGUGGAAACAAACACCAAAGGGCUCAUUCUGAACUCUGUCCCCUGAAGAGGAUAUGGGGAAGAAGCAACAUUUAUACCAGCUCAGAAGAUGUGAAUCUGCCCUGACAGUGCCUUUUGACAAUGAUGUGGCUUGCACAACAAGAUGGAGUUGUGCCUGAUAUUAUCCUAAAAAUAUGCAUAGAUGUAUAGAUGCUGGGGAUCAGCAUCACAUGUCCACAAGGAGGGGAAUGGCAGGGGCAAGGUCUCCAACCCAAAAUAAGCAAAUUAAUUGGGGGUAUUCCCUCAUCCUCAUCAGAAAAUCCCCCAGAUUUACUGGGGUGUUGGUGAGGAACUCCCCAGCCCAGUAGAUACCAACCUUUGCACAGCUGAGCAGGCAGCAGCAGCUUCUCCCAGGUAAUCUGGGAGAAGCCAAAGGCCACUAAAGCAGCAUGUGCUGGGUGACAGUGUCCCUUCCCUGUACAGUGCUUGGUGAGAUCCUCCCAGCCUUGCAGGGGUGCAGUGCUGAGGAGGAGCAGAGGAGGGAUGAGCUGAGAGGAAGAGCAGCCCCUGAAGCGUUGCAGGAGCAUCUGGCACAGCUUGCGACGGCAGCGAGCUGGGGUUCAGCAGCUGAGAGAUGGCUGAGCUCUCGCCUGCAGAGCCAUCAAAGGCACCAUUCUUAGCUGGCAGGAUUGUUUAUUGCAGCUGCCCCAGGAGAUCAUCAUUGCUUGUUUUAUCGGCCUUUUGGAUGGCUGUGUGGUGAGGGCUCUGUGCAGGGGGAAACUUCACUGCGUUAAGAGCAGCCUCAGGACAUGGGGACUUCCAGGCCUCCACCCUUAGGGCUGGGGUUUGUACAGCCCCAGCCUGUGGGGACACCAAGCAGGAGCAGCAUCUCAGGGCUCUGGACCCAUCUGCAGGGAGGGGUUUGCCCUGUUCCUGGCGCCAAGGAGCCUCUGCAGCAGCUGCAGCGCUCAGCAAGGGGCCUGGUGAGGGAUUUCCCUCACUCCAGGGAGCCGAGGGUGGAUUGUGUUGGUUUUACUGUGGUGUGGAGCUGGUGGAGCAGUAUAAAGAUACAGGAGCACAGGGAAGGAUUAAGGCCAAUGGACUGCAGCUCCCUGCCUUCCUCCAAAGACAGCUUGGAGCCCAUCAAAGGUAUUAAAUCUGAGGAGUCACUGUAGAUGCACAUGCUGAGCUCUCUUUUCCAAGGCCUGCUUGCCUUGUCCAGAGCUCAUCCUGCACCUAUGGGAAGGUGUGGGAAGAAGGAACAGCUGAUAAUUUGGAAAGCUCUUCAAUCAGUGGCAUUCCCUGCUCCUGACCGGCCUCUCUGCCUACUAACCCAGCUCAAUGAGACUGAACCCAUUACUCCAGAUGAUGGGCACUUACAAUAAAUAGAGGGAAAAUCCAAAGCCCAUAGAGAAGGCUCAAUAUGCUUCUGGAUAACAGACAGCACCAUAUGCAAACACAGAGCCUUCUUUCCCCUUAAUUCUGCUCUGUGCUUUUCCUGCUUAAUACAUUCCUUGUUGCAAGGAGAACAUGUUCUGACAAUUGAAGAGUGAAAGCAAUUAGAAACAGAAUUAAUUGAUAAAAUUAAAGCCCUGCUUUCCUUAUGUUUGUCAUAUGACUACAAAUAUUGUCAUUCCUAUUAAUAUUAAUUAAUAUAAUUAUCAAUGUUUCUAAUCCCUACACAUUUUGUUGAAAAGUUACUCUUAGCUCAAGAAUAUAAUUGUUAAGUCGUGGAAAUGUUAAGUAGCAGCUAAGCAAGUCCAAAGAAUUAAUAGCAAACUGUAGUUUAUCCAGGGAUUAGACUUUUAGCAACACAUAAUCACCUCUUCAUGUGUUCACCCACAUAAAAUACCUUCUAUCCCUGACUACACUUCUGCCUAUUUGUCCUUGCAGUGCACAGUUUUCAAGAAUUAAAAAAAAAAGACAGUAAGUAAACAUUCUGUGCAGUUGCAUGCUGUUCUUCAAGGUAAGUCACUGCACCAAGAGUUCUGUGCCCACAGCUGAGAGUAAUGUCAAGGUCAAUUAUCUCAGGCUGAAAGCCCUAAUGGAGGAUAUUUUUGUGAUCAGAAUAAUCUGUGUAACGCUGCAAAGCCUUUGUUUUGGAGUCGAGCAAAGCAAUUCCCCUCUCACCCAGCUUCCCCACACAUUUUCUCUCAGUUGGAAUGUCACAGAUUACUAGAAUAAUCCAAAGGGCUGCCCUGCCACGCUGCUGCCAGCUGAGCAGCUUCUCCUGGCGUGCGCCAGCAGCGUUCGAGGGCACAGGGACUGGAGCAGAGCCUUCCCGGCCGCCUGCCCGCGUCCUCGACAGACACUCAGCAACUCCUGCCUGGCACAGCAAGCAGCAGUGCUAGGUGCAGUAUUAAUCAGCUCUUUUGGAAAACAGCCAAAGUGCUUUAAAGGCCUUUGUUGUAGGGUAGAGGGGUGUUUCUGCUAGAAGAGAAUAAUGUAAUCAUUUUGCUAUUAAUUUUUAAUUGUAUGUUGCUCUGCAUUAUUACCAAUCUAUACUGAUUUUCCUGAGAGCAAUGGGGAUGCUGUGCAAGUGGUUUCUGUUAGGAACGCUGUUGGGCCACACUGGAAAAGAAGUGACAGAAAAAAGCUGUUCUUCAAAGUUACUGCAGUCACCUGCUGCUGCCUAUUCCUACAAGGUAUCACAUUAAAUACUUAUAAAAUGUAUGAACUUAAGAAGAUUCAUGGAGAACUGCCACAGUUUCCCCUGUCGUCAGGUGUUUUUCUUUGCUUGUUUUUGUAGGGGUUUGUUUCUUUUCUUUUUUUUUUUAAUGGCCACCCUUUGUAAGGAAAAGUUACUUCUGAGAAACCUUCUGCAAGCAAAUUAAACUCACUGAUGUGGAUGAAAUCAGUAGCAAGAGUAAGACAUACAUUAAUUCUUCUCAGAAGACAAUAUUUAUCAAAAAUGCUAAGAUGCAGCCCACUGAUACAGUUAAACUUUCUGCUAGAAACAUGAUUGUAUCACUCACUUGUGCCCACUCACAAAUCCUUCAUUUCAUCUGAGAGAAAACUGGCCAUGAGGGCACAGGAAAUCUUUAAUCUGCUUUUCUCCAUUUCUUCAAAUAUCUGGCUCUUAUCAACCUGCAUCGAACAUGAGCGACACAGAACCUUCAUGUCCUCCACUUCAUAAAACAAAUGCAAACAAAGCACAGACACGUCUUUAGUGUAAGAUGGAUUGAGCACAACAAAGUAUUGCAUAGCAGCAAGGCUGCAAAGAACUCCUGAAAAGGCAGCACUUGCUGCAAAUUCAGGAAGAAAUCAAUUAGACCAAGAAAGACACAAGUUAUGUAGAAAAAUCUACACUUUGCCACUGACCUAAGUAUCAGGAAGACAGUAAAAGGGGCCUGUUCCCCCAGUAUUUGAAUAUUAUCCUUUGUAAAGAAAAAUCAUGGUUUUUUUUCUCUUGAAUCCCUAAUACUAAUUAUGUAUUUCAAUAUAAUACUAUUUGUAUUAUACCAUAUCCUAUAAUGUAUAAUCUCUAUAAUAAAUCACACUAUUAUAAAUAUUUUUAUAAAUAUCUAUUAAUGUAGUAAUAAAAUAAACAUGUGUAGAGUUAGCUUAAAUAGCCAUAUACUACUAUGUGUUAAAAAUAAUUUUAUUUUUUGGCAGAUAUUCAAGGUUAACUGUAAGUUUUUGGACAGCUGGGAAAUUCUGGUAAAAAUUUGCAAAGUUUGCACCUAAUUCAGUUGAAUUAGCUUCAAAAUAGAGAAAUAGAUUAUUUGAUGAAGAAGAAUUAGACAAGUUAAAUUUUCAGUUAAAAAGAAAAUACACAGACAUUUUCUACCUGGCCAGUUCUAAACUGCAGUUUUAGUCCUGGCAUAAGCCCAUCAUCAUCAGUGAAAAAUGUGCCUUUGUCUUCUCCAUAUCCAGUGCCGCAGGAUCUCCAGGGGUGAUUCAGGAAAGCUCUGAGACAUUCACAAUAAGUCCAGUAACCACUUUCCCAAAUAAUGAUUCUUCCCUGGGCUGGGGCCAAAAUAGGUCAAGUAAAGGGAAAACCAAAACUGCAGACUAUGAAGCAACCUGCCCAUAAUUCCCCAUCAAAUCAGAGAUUAAACCUCUUGUACAGUAGCCUCUUCUAGGGGGACUGCAUUCAUCAUUCCAGGAAUUAGUUUAAACAAGGCUUAUUACUGCAAAACUUAAUAUACAAUAUAUUAUUUUAUUUGGAUUAUUCUGUUGCUUCACAGCUUUGAAAAAACAAAACAAAAACUACUAAAUUUGCAGUCACCUUUGGUAACGAGGUUCUGUUCCUCUGCCUAUUUGAGAUAUUUCUUUCCAUCUCCUGCACUGAAACUGAAUGUUUCAGUUCCUGAGAGCUGUAGAUAUUUAUUCAGUGCCCUUCUAUCUUGGCCAUCACAGAUAGCUCUCUGAUAACAAAUCACACUCUCUGAGCAUCAUUUGCUACCAGAAAGGAUCCUCAAGAAGCACAUGCUCCAUGACACAGGAUAUCCCCUGCUUUGCUGUGAAUGCUAUAAAGAGCUUCACAAAAUCAGCUUCCUUGUAUUGAGAGGGUAAGAAUGCAUCAUCUCAGUAGUUUUACCACUUCUUAUUGCCUGUUGAGGCUUCAUGCUUAGUCCCUGCUCCCUGGCUCUUCAAAUGAAUGCUGCUACUUAAACACAGAGAACGAUAUGUGCUUCGUGAGAGAUUCAAGGAUUUCAGCCAUCAAUAGAGGUUUAAUUAUAUGCUGGUGGAUGCUCAGGUACUAUAGCGAUGGCUGUUGUAUAAAUUGCACAAAGCCAGCACAGAAGAGACCACUCACAGCUCAUCGUACACUCCGCUCCUGCAAUUUAUACAAAAUAAAAUGUAAUGCAUGGUAUUAACUUGCAUCUUCUUCUUGACUAUGUCAUAACCCAUCAUGUAAUGUGAUGUUAUUCCAUGUCGUGUCACAGGUAACAUGAUGCAACACAAUGUCACACUUCAGGAAAUAUUACUAAGCAAGGGCUGAUUCUUGUUAGCAGUUCAGAAUGCAAGUCUCUGAUCCAAACAUAUUAUGGCUGUGGCUGAUGGGAAGGCAUCAAACUGAGAGCUACGUUGGGCAAAUGUUUUUCUUCUCUGGCUUGGCCAGCAGAUGUCCAUUUGUCAGGUUUGGGUUCAAUUGAGAUUUCUUUGUCACGAGCACUUUCUCUUGUAAAAGAAAUAGCAAUUUUAUGGCAAGCCAAAUACUGAAAAGAAAAGCCCUUAGAAAUACAUAAUAAAUGUAUAUUAGUGAGACAGAAAAUUGGAAAAUGGCCACCUGCCAGCAGCCACAUAAAUUUUGGAGGCAAUGCAUUUUUAUGCCAUUAUGCAUUAUCACAGGAAUUGCAAAUAUUUAUUAAAAGUAUUAAAAUGGUGAGAAUGUUAAAUGUUUCCUUCAGUAGUGGAAAUUCGCAGUGCCACAUAGAAGACAGGAUAUUCUGAUACAAUGUUUAUUAAAAUUACUUCAUUUUAUUAGGCUGUCAUACACAAUAAAUGUGCAGGUACAGUUAACAAAAGAUCUAUUGUGGAUAUGGGAGAUUUGUGAGUAACACUUCAAAAAAAUAAUCUCUUCUGAACUCUAUUCAUAUAAAAAGCAUGCUACAAACUUUCAUUAACUUCCUUAGAACCAAUUAUUUUCUGAGCUUAUUUUCUUUUUCUGCCAUCCCCCUGUAUUUUGUUAGUCGAUUUGUUUACUCAUAUUUUAAUGCUUAACAGGAUUAAAUGCAGUUUAUCUUUAAUUUAUAUACAAGUAAGAUGAGUGCAUAUGUGGAGCAGGCAACAAAACAUGACGAUUAUUUUGGGGUUCAUUCACAGGUCUAAACAUGAAUGACUGUAAUAUACUGGGUCCUCAGUAUCUUUUCAUCCAUAAGCAAAACAUUAUUAAAAGAUCAGUGGGAGCUCCAUAAUAUUGAUUGAGAAGAAAAUCACAUUCUGGUUUUGCCCACAUUUUCUGCUGGGAUUAAUCACAGUGAUUUUGUUUCUAAGGUUUUGUUGCAGCAAGAUACAGACUCGGGCACACCCUGACGGGGUAACUUUGCUGUUUGGCUUUGCUGGGCUUUGAGCCCCUUCCAGCAGCCCCUGAGCACUGAUGGGGACAGUGACAUAAUCCCUUCAUAAACAGGAAUCAGCACUGAAAGGAAGGAGGGUGGCUCUUGCCUUCUCAACUAAAAGUGUACUCAGAAUAGCUUCUUAAAGUCUUUUUUUAAAAUUUAAGAAAUGAGCAGAGAAAUAAGGAACCAGUACUGAGGUUUUUUUCUUACACAAGUGUUCCUCAAUUCUAUACAGUCCAUUAAGGAAGUGGUGGGAUUGGAGUCUAUGUUGUAGGCAGGGGGUGAAUAGAUCAAAGUUACAAGACCUCAGAUUUAUGGAGAGUCUUAUGCAAGGAAAAACCUGCCUGUGGAAGAUAAAAUUUCAAAAAUAAAGGAAUUUUCACCUUGCUUUUA